AUUGAACGCUGGCGGCAGGCCUAACACAUGCAAGUCGAGCGGAUGAAGGGAGCUUGCUCCUGGAUUCAGCGGCGGACGGGUGAGUAAUGCCUAGGAAUCGGCCUGGUAGUGGGGGAUAACGUCCGGAAACGGGCGCUAAUACCGCAUACGUCCUGAGGGAGAAAGUGGGGGAUCUUCGGACCUCACGCUAUCAGAUGAGCCUAGGUCGGAUUAGCUAGUUGGUGGGGUAAAGGCCUCCCAAGGCGACGAUCCGUAACUGGUCUGAGAGGAUGAUCAGUCACACUGGAACUGAGGAGCGGUCCCGACUCCUACGGGAGGCAGCAGUGGGGAAUAUUGGACAAUGAGCGAAAGACUGAUCCAGCCAUGCCGCGUGUGUGAAGAAGGUCUUCGGAUUGUAGAGCACUUUAAGUUGGGAGGAAGGGCAGUAAGUUAAUACCUUGCUGUUUUGACGUUAGCAACAGAAUAAGCACCGGCUAACUUCGUG
Molecule: ribosomal RNA, 484 nt
Filed under: uncultured bacterium
Lineage: Bacteria
Description: partial 16S ribosomal RNA
Rfam family: Bacterial small subunit ribosomal RNA
Source: RNAcentral